Molecule: ribosomal RNA, 899 nt
Filed under: uncultured marine archaeon
Lineage: Archaea
Description: SSU rRNA
Rfam family: Archaeal small subunit ribosomal RNA
Source: RNAcentral
GUGCCAGCCGCCGCGGUAAUACCGGCGCCUCAAGUGGUAGUCGCUUUUAUUGGGCCUAAAACGUCCGUAGCCGGUCUGAUACAUUCGUGGGUAAAUCAACCAGCUUAACUGGUUGAAUUCUGCGAGGACGGUCAGACUUGGGACCGGGAGAGGUGUGGGGUACGCUCAGGGUAGGGGUAAAAUCCUGUCAUCCUGAGCGGACCACCUGUUGCGAAGGCGCCACACUAGAACGGAUCCGACGGUCAGGGACGAAGCCUAGGGGCACGAACCGGAUUAGAUACCCGGGUAGUCCUAGGUGUAAACGCUGUGGACUUGAUGUUGGGGGUGCUCCGAGCACUCUCAGUGUCGAAGCGAAGGUGAUAAGUCCACUGCCUGGGAAGUACGGUCGCAAGGCUGAAACUUAAAGGAAUUGGCGGGGGAGCACCGCAACCUGAGGAUUGUGCGGUUUAAUUGGAUUCAACGCCGGAAAACUCACCAUAGCCGACGGACAAAUGAAGGUCAGUGUAAUGAACUUACCGGAUUGUUCGAGAGGUAGUGCAUGGCCGCCGUCAGUUCGUACCGCAAGGCGUUCUGUUAAGUCAGAUAACGAACGAGACCCUCAUCUCUAUUUGCUAACUGGAUCUCCGGAUUCAGUGCACUAUAGGGAGACCGCUGGCGCUAAGUCAGAGGAAGGGGAGGGCAACGGUAGGUCAGUAUGCUCCGAAUGCUAUGGGCUACACGCGCAAUACAAAGGACAGGACAAUGGGCUGCUGCUCCGAAAGGAAUGAUAGCUAUCCCGAAACCUGUUCGUAGUUCGGAUUGAGGGCUGUAACUCGCCCUCAUGAAGCUGGAUUAGGUAGUAAUCGCGUCUCAAAAAGGCGCGGUGAAUAUGCCCCUGCUCCUUGCACUCACCGCCCGUC